AUCUUUUAAAACAAUGCAAGUAUAACUACACCUACAGUAAUGAAUGUAACUUCAAAAUCAAAGGGAGAACAGGGUAUCACAACUGAUUUUUUUAUUGUCUUGAACCAUAACACACAGAGAUACAUCUAUAAACAAUGAUCAAAAGAAACUGUACAUUUAUACUUGAUAUCUAAGUCCCACAAAAAUAAUGCGACUGCUGGUCAGAACGCUUUACAACUAAAGAGAUUUUACAUGUAAUGACUCAUUCGAAUUGAAUUUUCCAUUUUAAUAAUGCGUUUGGAUAUUAAAGAAUCGCUGGCUUUGCAGAGAUAUUCAUCCCACGUCUGCCAUCGGUGCCAUAACACAAACUGGACUCCGAGCCCCAAAAAUCUUUUUCACAGCAGUUUUACAAAUUUAUUGCGGUACUAUCACAGAAGAGACAAAAUCAAUACACACGAAGCACAGGCCUGACAUGAACUCCAGUACUAGAGAAACUGUUUAUUUAGCAGAAAUGAUUAUGGAGAACUGCAGUUAACAUAUGGAACACAGCUUACAAACGUUCUACAAGUAAUCUUUCGCCUUAUAAACAAUGAGUUAUUUGCCCACCCCUCCCUCCCCAAACACACAUUACAGGUUACACACACACACACACACACACACACACACACAUACACACACAAAAAAAAUCCCUCAUAGAGCCAAUGGAAUGUUAGUCAUUCGGACAAGCUCGGUAAGAUGUCCAGCUGUCUGUGUAAACGACAUGCCUGCAACCUUCCCCUCUACCUCGCACUUUGAAAGCGAGAGCAGAGAGGGGGGGAAAAAAAACGCCUGUCGACAUUUACGAUGACGGUAGUUUUUUCUGCCCAAUGUAAAAAUGCUGGAUAUGAUGAAAUCACUUUCAAAAUGUUUCUUUUCUUCCAUAAAAAAUGUGUCUCUACAAUCAAACUACUAAAAAACCUGCCUUUAGAAAAUAGUAGAUAAAAAUAUUCCCCUGAAUUGUACAAGAAAAGAGGUACAGGGAGUGCUGGUAAAAGAUGAGACCCCGGCAAAGUUAUUCCCCGUCUUCUCCCUUCUUGUCGGUGUCUUCUGUUGCCGAUGCCUGAAAAACAGCAUUGGCGGUACAUUACAUGAAAACACCAAAAAUCAUUAUACAUUUACAUUUAGCAGACGCUUUUAUCCAAAGCAUUUUAGUUUAUUUAUUUAGUUACUUUUUAGGUUUUAUAUGGAAGAUUUGCCAGUAUAUGACUAUGUUACCUCUUCGUCAGCUUUUGUUUCUCCGUUUUCUGCGGGCACCUCCUCUUUCUUCUCCUCCUCCUUGGGCUCCUUGGGUUCCUUUGUUUUCUUAGGCAUGGUUGUGGGUUUGUACAACACGCAAAAACCAAAGCGGUUAAAAAUGCAAGAUGCACGGAUUUAACGCUAAAAAACAGUCGACACUGUGUGUUGAGCUCGGUUAAAGAUUCACACAGUAAGCUUGAGCACAGUAUAGGAACACGUUAACGCUCGUCCGAAACAAAAACCUGCUCAAACCGGAUUGGAUUCUCCUCCUCCUCCUUCUUCUUCCCUAUUCAAUUCAUCACUGGCCGACCUGACAGCGAAUUUUCGAUUCCCACUAUGGCGAAGCCCCAUCUUAUGAAUAUUAAUGACACAUUGAUGACGCGACCUGGCAACCUUCCGUGAGCG
This is a long non-coding RNA of Cyprinus carpio carpio, 1659 nucleotides long. Lineage: Eukaryota; Metazoa; Chordata; Actinopteri; Cypriniformes; Cyprinidae. The record is from Ensembl.